CCAUGUAGCCAAACCUCCUUGCCAAUGUCGGAUCUUGUUAGAUCUUGGAAGCUAAGCAAAGCCGGGCCUGGUUAGUACUUGGAUGGGAGACAGCUCGGAAUACCAGGCAGUGGCUCUAUGGG
This 122-nucleotide ribosomal RNA is filed under the name Periophthalmus magnuspinnatus. Lineage: Eukaryota; Metazoa; Chordata; Actinopteri; Gobiiformes; Gobiidae. The record is from RNAcentral.